This is a non-coding RNA of Podarcis lilfordi (Lilford's wall lizard), 71 nucleotides long. Lineage: Eukaryota; Metazoa; Chordata; Lepidosauria; Squamata; Lacertidae. The record is from the annotation of a GenBank genome assembly.
GGCUGUAGCUCAGUGGAAAAGCAUCUGCUUCCCAUGCAGAAGGUCCCAGGUUCAAUCCCCAGGGAGGGUUG